RNAcentral lists this non-coding RNA (102 nucleotides) under Terrisporobacter glycolicus. Its description in RNAcentral is "Cyclic di-GMP-I riboswitch". It matches the Rfam family "c-di-GMP-I riboswitch aptamer". From Rfam's summary of the family: GEMM was predicted in a large-scale screen for bacterial structured RNA regulatory elements. Genes associated with GEMM are involved in a diverse array of functions, including chemotaxis regulation, signal transduction, secretion and chitin. The record is from RNAcentral. Lineage: Bacteria; Bacillati; Bacillota; Clostridia; Peptostreptococcales; Peptostreptococcaceae.
UAUAUUGGCAAAUUUGGAGAAAUCCAAAGACGCAAAGCUAAAGGGGCUACGGUAAAAUUAAUUAUUUAAAUAAUAUAAUUUGCUAUGCCAGCCAGUUGCCUA